Molecule: long non-coding RNA, 917 nt
Organism: Lineus longissimus
Lineage: Eukaryota; Metazoa; Nemertea; Pilidiophora; Heteronemertea; Lineidae
Exons: 4
Source: RefSeq, a predicted model, not a curated record
AAAGCGUUCGUUGUAUGAGGAACCACAUAGUUAUUGGCUUUGUUUGGUGAACAUCUCGGAGACCGUUACAGAAAUAUUCUGUGGAUCAUUAACAAAUUAUCAAAAUGAGAACAGAUUCAUGUUGUAUCACUAUCAGUGACCAAUGAAAAUGAUCUAAGUGUGAUGGAAAUUUUCUGUGGAAUAACAAAUUAUGGAAUUGAGAACUUAAUUUAUUUUAACUGCCCUGGAUAUCAUGUCAUUGUCCACACAACUUCAACUUCUGAAGGAUAAUUCAUUCAAUGAGGAUAGGAUAUCUACUCAAUAUAUCUGGAAUGCAAGAACUGCUAUAUUCAUACUCCCCUUGGUCAUUAGCUUUCUACAGAUCCUGAGUGAAUGGACAGCAUGAAAUCUGAUCUUCAGACCAACCACUACAUCAAUAUACAAAAUGUCUAAGCGCAAAGCAGACGACAAUUCCGAGUGCAUAGACUGCACCUGCUACAUCCACAACGCCUCCCCAGUUAAAGGAAAUGCAGAGCAAAAAUAAUUCUUCAAAGCAACAUGCCAAGUCAACAACAACGAGUACAAGAACUGCUUAUGCUAUGCUCCUCGUCUACACAAUGAUUUUAAGAAAGCAGAAAAUGCAACAAGUCCUGUCAAAAUCAAGAACGUUCAAUUGAUUCCUAAUAAUCAAGACAACACGAAGAAGGACUUCAAGAUAACAAACAAUUCAACAAUUGAAACGCAGAAAACAACAACCUUACCAUUUAAGAUGAAAACACCAGCAGUUGACCUAAAUACAAUCAUCGAUACACCACUGAAGGAUUUGAAAAGUUUACAGAUUGGCCAAAAGACAUGCUUGUCGUUGUGGAACCACAAUUCCAGAGAAUUCUCUACUAUCUGAAACUUUAAAAUGCACAUCUUGUGGAAUGUGACAGAGA